RNAcentral lists this ribosomal RNA (253 nucleotides) under uncultured bacterium. Its description in RNAcentral is "partial 16S ribosomal RNA". It matches the Rfam family "Bacterial small subunit ribosomal RNA", at positions 524 to 776 of the family's 1533-position model. The record is from RNAcentral.
UACGUAGGUGACCAGCGUUGUCCGGAUUUACUGGGCGUAAAGAGCGCGCAGGCGGUCGUUCAAGUCGAGUGUGAAAGCCCCCGGCUCAACUGGGGAGGGUCAUUCGAUACUGAUCGACUUGAAGGCAGGAGAGGGAAGUGGAAUUCCCGGUGUAGUGGUGAAAUGCGCAGAUAUCAGGAGGAACACCGGUGGCGAAGGCGGGUCUCUGGGCCGUAACUGACGCUGAGGAGCGAAAGCGUGGGGAGCGAACAGG